GGAAUCUUCCACAAUGGGCGAAAGCCUGAUCCAGCAAUGCCGCGUGUGUGAAGAAGGUCUUCGGAUUGUAAAGCACUUUCGACGGGGACGAUGAUGACGGUACCCGUAGAAGAAGCCCCGGCUAACUUCGUGCCAU
Molecule: ribosomal RNA, 136 nt
Filed under: uncultured bacterium
Lineage: Bacteria
Description: partial 16S ribosomal RNA
Rfam family: Bacterial small subunit ribosomal RNA
Source: RNAcentral